CGUAGGGUGCGAGCGUUAAUCGGAAUUACUGGGCGUAAAGCGUGCGCAGGCGGUUUGUUAAGAUAGGCGUGAAAUCCCCGGGCUCAACCUGGGAACUGCGCUUAUGACUGGCAAGCUAGAGUACGGCAGAGGGGGGUGGAAUUCCACGUGUAGCAGUGAAAUGCGUAGAGAUGUGGAGGAACGCCAAUGGCGAAGGCAGCCCCCUGGGUCGAUACUGACGCUCAUGCACGAAAGCGUGGGUAGCAAACAGGAUUAGAUACCCUGGUAGUCCACGCCCUAAACGAUGUCAACUAGGUGUUGGGAGGGUAAAACCUUUUAGUACCGGAGCUAACGCGUGAAGUUGACCGCCUGGGGAGUACGGCCGCAAGGUUA
This 372-nucleotide ribosomal RNA is filed under the name uncultured organism. Its description in RNAcentral is "bacterial SSU rRNA". It matches the Rfam family "Bacterial small subunit ribosomal RNA", at positions 526 to 896 of the family's 1533-position model. The record is from RNAcentral.